RNAcentral lists this unclassified non-coding RNA (29 nucleotides) under Orthohepacivirus hominis. Its description in RNAcentral is "HCV genotype 1a miR-122 site-1 from Hepacivirus hominis (PDB 7KI3, chain F)". The record is from RNAcentral. Lineage: Riboviria; Orthornavirae; Kitrinoviricota; Flasuviricetes; Amarillovirales; Hepaciviridae.
GCCAGCCGCCUGAUGGCGGCGACACUCCA